RNAcentral lists this ribosomal RNA (253 nucleotides) under uncultured bacterium. RNAcentral's name for it is "partial 16S ribosomal RNA". It matches the Rfam family "Bacterial small subunit ribosomal RNA", at positions 524 to 776 of the family's 1533-position model. The record is from RNAcentral.
UACGAAGGGAGCUAGCGUUGUUCGGAAUUACUGGGCGUAAAGCGCACGUAGGCGGCUUUGUAAGUUAGAGGUGAAAGCCCGGGGCUCAACCCCGGAAUUGCCUUUAAGACUGCAUCGCUUGAAUCCGGGAGAGGUGAGUGGAAUUCCGAGUGUAGAGGUGAAAUUCGUAGAUAUUCGGAAGAACACCAGUGGCGAAGGCGGCUCACUGGACCGGUAUUGACGCUGAGGUGCGAAAGCGUGGGGAGCAAACAGG